RNAcentral lists this long non-coding RNA (2710 nucleotides) under Bos indicus x Bos taurus (hybrid cattle). RNAcentral's name for it is "lncRNA (ENSBIXG00000023731.1)". Lineage: Eukaryota; Metazoa; Chordata; Mammalia; Artiodactyla; Bovidae. The record is from RNAcentral.
CACUUAACCAGAAAAUAAAUCAACCAAAUUGAUGGAACUUGGUGUUGUGAAAAGAACAUUCAGCUGGAAUUUUACCCUGGCCUGGCCAUAAAUUAACUGCACGACCUUGGGCAAGUCAGCACACCUCUCUGGGCCUCAGUUUCCUCACCUAAACUGGAGAGCUGACGAUGUUCACAACCAGCAAAAAGCCCCAAUCAGAGACGAUGUUUAGAGAGAAGAAAAGGCCCGGGACUCAGAAAAGGAAGCCAACGUUGUUAGGACCCAUGCCUGGCCCGGUGACAAGCCUCUGUUUGUGAGUCUGUAAGAUUGGUAAAUUUUAUCCUAAUUAGAAUUAAGAAAAGCUAAGAAGAACACAUACCAUCUUUAACUGGCACCCAUCAUGCAAUUAAAUUUCCUGCGGCUGCUCCUGCCAAUAUUGACAUUCAUACUAUUGGAUUUUUAACAAUCUUAUUAUUUUGUAAUUGAGAAGAGCAAGAGGAAAAUUACGCUUUCCUGCAUAGAUGAUCUUCUGAGCUAACAUACCCUUUCCUAAGCAGUCGGUCUGGCUGAGCCCGCUCCCCUCCUGAUUCCCCCAGGGCUUGGUGAGGCUUGGGGAAGAGGGGGGUGAGACUCUGAGCGUGUGCUUUUCCAAUGAGAUCAUGCAUCUUGGUUUGGUCUCCACGAAAUAACGAGACCGCUCAUUCCUGCAGACAGAGGCGGCGCUUGGCAGGAAGGUUCUGAUUAGGAGUCACGGACCUGCAUAGAACAGCAUGGCAGAAGCUGAGUUCUCCUGCGAGGUAAGCAUUCAGCCAUCUCGAGAUGUUGGCAGCCACCCAGCGUGGCGGAGGGAAGGAGCAGUGAAUAGAGGGUCCCAGGAGAGCCCAAGUCUUCAGUUCACUCCCUGGGUGACUGUGGACAGAGCGUGCUCUCGGUUCCGGUCCUGUUUCCUCAUGUGUAAAAUGCAGAAGAGAGAGCAGACAGGCUGUUGUCUGCUGGAGAAGCAGCAGAGUGGAGUGGUCAAGAGCAUGGAUCCAACACUCACUGGCUGUGUGAACUUGGGUAAGUGAGUGCGAUGAACACACUGUCCGUGUCCUGAGUACCUGCUGAAUAUUAACUCUGUUACUACCCCUCCCAGGCCUGCCAUUUAGCACCCCCGCCCCCAUCACUAAGGGUUAAUGCCGCCGUAGCCUGAGGAUGUGUUCCUUUUCCCUCCCCAAACCGCCUCUUGCUCAGCUGGCUCAUGUUGAACUUGAAACCGACUAAAACCUCCUGAUCUUUUUUUAUGUGAAUUGCAGUCAAGCCAGGUCUCCCUCAUCCCCUUCUUGUGCAAUUGAUUUUUGGAACCUGCAUUCAAGACAUUAGAUUUAUUGAUGCUAACUUUCAUCUGGUUGCUUUUGACCUAGCAUUCUUAACUGUGGAGAUCAUCUUGAACCUUAAUUCUCUCAUCCCCUCCAGCUUUGAGUCAUCUGCAAAUUUGGUGCACAUGCUUUCCAUGUCUUCAUCCAAAUUGCUGGCUUAGAAAAGCUAUUUAUAUGGAUAAAAAUAGAGAUAGAGAUAUAGGCCGCUUUACAAGAGGGGACCUUGUGCGUAAGGCUGAGCACUGGGGUUUAUCACGCGGGCAGCAGGGGGCUCACAGCCCUGAAUCGACAUUUAAACCUUUUCUGUACGCACCCCCUCGUACGCACUUGUAUUUGCCCCUGGCUCCCGAAUGUUCUCAGUGAUGACAAGGGGAGUUCACUGCUCAGCCACCCUGACUGUGGUGUCCUCUAAACUAGCAAAUCCCCUGGGCAGAUCUGAAUCCUUUCCCGUCUGCACCAGGUGAAGCUCCAGGGCCAAGUCUUGUCCUUCCCCCUUCUCACUGUUUCUUAAACUGAGACCACCCCCACCUUGGGGCCUCGCCAAAUACCUGCUGUUAAUCCAAGAAACCAAUUCUUGCUCGCUCAGAGGAAGAGGUCAUGGACCACAACGUCUUAAUGUGCUUCCCGCUCAGAUGUUUCCAUUGUAACAGGGGCCUUCUGUGUCCGAACCGCAAGGCCGGAGCCGGGGUGGGUGUGCUAUUAGCCACCUGUGGCCACGUGGGGCUCUGGCCUCAGUCCCAGGCCCCAAGGGCAUCCCGUGUCACAGCAGACAGCGGCCGGCACUGCUCAUAAGCAUGACUGCAAGUCACCAGGGAAAGACUUGGGGCGCUCUGUUCAAGACAGAGAAAGGAGAAAAAAAAUUCUAGGAGUAAUUUACAUCUAAAGUGGCUUAAAUUACCGAGAAAAAGAAAAAAAAAGCCACUGAUUAUUUUUUUCCUCCAGACAAGACUCUCUGAUGUUGUGUGAGCUAGGUGGUGGCUGGUGGCAGAACUUUCUAAAGCCCCAAGCUCCCUGCAUGUCCAGACACAUCUGCAGGCACCUGGCUGAGGACCCCUAGCCCCAAGAGAGUUAGCUGGCUCAGUGCACUCAAUCCCUCUUUGAUGUCCUCAGUACCAGAGCCUUCCCAUUUUACCCACAAUAUUCCUUUAUAGGAAAAGUUUGAUGAAGACCAUAAAGAGCAGUUGCUCUUUCCUGAGUGCCUGCCAUGUGCCAGGCAUUGUGCUAGACCUUGAAACCUCCCACCUUUAAUCUCUUCAACCUUAGGAAGCAGAUUGUUACUAUUCCCAUCUUAUGGAAGAGUAAACUGAGGCCCACAGAGAUAAACUGCCUAUGGUCACAAUAAAUAGCAAGACUGGAAUUUGAACUCUGUUCUC